This 788-nucleotide ribosomal RNA is filed under the name Streptomyces sp. 8-19. RNAcentral describes it as "bacterial SSU rRNA". It matches the Rfam family "Bacterial small subunit ribosomal RNA", at positions 56 to 860 of the family's 1533-position model. Lineage: Bacteria; Bacillati; Actinomycetota; Actinomycetes; Kitasatosporales; Streptomycetaceae. The record is from RNAcentral.
UGCAGUCGAACGAUGAAGCCCUUCGGGGUGGAUUAGUGGCGAACGGGUGAGUAACACGUGGGCAAUCUGCCCUUCACUCUGGGACAAGCCCUGGAAACGGGGUCUAAUACCGGAUAACACUCUGUCCCGCAUGGGACGGGGUUAAAAGCUCCGGCGGUGAAGGAUGAGCCCGCGGCCUAUCAGCUUGUUGGUGGGGUAAUGGCCUACCAAGGCGACGACGGGUAGCCGGCCUGAGAGGGCGACCGGCCACACUGGGACUGAGACACGGCCCAGACUCCUACGGGAGGCAGCAGUGGGGAAUAUUGCACAAUGGGCGAAAGCCUGAUGCAGCGACGCCGCGUGAGGGAUGACGGCCUUCGGGUUGUAAACCUCUUUCAGCAGGGAAGAAGCGAAAGUGACGGUACCUGCAGAAGAAGCGCCGGCUAACUACGUGCCAGCAGCCGCGGUAAUACGUAGGGCGCAAGCGUUGUCCGGAAUUAUUGGGCGUAAAGAGCUCGUAGGCGGCUUGUCACGUCGGAUGUGAAAGCCCGGGGCUUAACCCCGGGUCUGCAUUCGAUACGGGCUAGCUAGAGUGUGGUAGGGGAGAUCGGAAUUCCUGGUGUAGCGGUGAAAUGCGCAGAUAUCAGGAGGAACACCGGUGGCGAAGGCGGAUCUCUGGGCCAUUACUGACGCUGAGGAGCGAAAGCGUGGGGAGCGAACAGGAUUAGAUACCCUGGUAGUCCACGCCGUAAACGUUGGGAACUAGGUGUUGGCGACAUUCCACGUCGUCGGUGCCGCAGCUAACGCAU